This is a non-coding RNA of Clostridium sp. CAG:1024, 344 nucleotides long. It matches the Rfam family "Bacterial RNase P class A". From Rfam's summary of the family: Ribonuclease P (RNase P) is a ubiquitous endoribonuclease, found in archaea, bacteria and eukarya as well as chloroplasts and mitochondria. Its best characterised activity is the generation of mature 5'-ends of tRNAs by cleaving the 5'-leader elements of precursor-tRNAs. Cellular RNase Ps are ribonucleoproteins. The record is from Rfam. Lineage: Bacteria; Bacillati; Bacillota; Clostridia; Eubacteriales; Clostridiaceae.
CGAGUAAGACAGACGGCCGCCCCUCGUCGAGAGAUGCGGGGAGGAAAGUCCGAGCACCGCAGGGCAGGGUGCCGGGUAACACCCGGUGGAGGCGACUCCAAGGAAAGUGCAACAGAAAGAUACCGCCCGUCGCGAGUCGGGUAAGGAUGGAAAGGCGAGGUAAGAGCUCACCGACGGCUUGGCGACUUGUCCGUCAUGUAAACCCCACCUGGUGCAAGAUUGAAAUGGGAGCAUAUAAUAGCGGCCCGCUACGCUCCUGGAAAUCGCAUGAGCCCACCGGCAACGAUGGGCCAGAGAUAGAUGGUCGUCCUUAGACAGAACUCGGCUUACGGCUUGCUCGCAAC